AUUGAACGCUGGCGGCAGGCUUAACACAUGCAAGUCGAGCGGGGUGAUGGUGCUUGCACUAUCACUUAGCGGCGGACGGGUGAGUAAUGCUUAGGAAUCUGCCUAUUAGUGGGGGACAACAACUCGAAAGGGAUGCUAAUACCGCAUACGUCCUACGGGAGAAAGCAGGGGAUCACUUGUGACCUUGCGCUAAUAGAUGAGCCUAAGUCGGAUUAGCUAGUUGGUGGGGUAAAGGCCUACCAAGCGACGAUCUGUAGCGGGUCUGAGAGGAUGAUCCGCCACACUGGGACUGAGACACGGCCCAGACUCCUACGGGAGGCAGCAGUGGGGAAUAUUGGACAAUGGGGGGAACCCUGAUCCAGCCAUGCCGCGUGUGUGAAGAAGGCCUUAUGGUUGUAAAGCACUUUAAGCGAGGAGGAGGCUCUCUUGGUUAAUACCCAAGAUGAGUGGACGUUACUCGCAGAAUAAGCACCGGCUAACUCUGUGCCAGCCGCCGCGGUAA
Molecule: ribosomal RNA, 502 nt
Filed under: uncultured bacterium
Lineage: Bacteria
Description: partial 16S ribosomal RNA
Rfam family: Bacterial small subunit ribosomal RNA
Source: RNAcentral